This 855-nucleotide ribosomal RNA is filed under the name Triticum aestivum (bread wheat). RNAcentral describes it as "partial small subunit ribosomal RNA". Lineage: Eukaryota; Viridiplantae; Streptophyta; Magnoliopsida; Poales; Poaceae. The record is from RNAcentral.
AUGGCGGUGCCGUCGGUGUUCACCGCCUUUGACACAGAUGGCGACGACAAGAUGUCCGCGUCUGAGCUGCAGCGCUGCAUGGAGGCGACGCUGGGCGAGGGCGUGUCCGAGGAGGAAGCGGUGGCGGUCCUUGCGGCGGUUGAUGCCGACGGCGACGGGCUGCCAAACCAGGGAGAGUUCUCGAGGCUAGUCGCCGGCGCCGAGGGAGAGGACGAUGCCAACGUGAAGCGAAGGUGCCUGAGGGACGCGUUCGGGAUGUACGCGUCGUCGCCCACGGAAGACACGAUUACGCCGGCGAGCCUGAGGCGGACACUGAGCAGGCUGGGGUUGCACGAGCUGGGCGUGGAGGAAUGCCGGGCGAUGAUCUGCAGAUUCGACCUCGACGGCGACGGCAAGCUCUCGUUUGACAAGUUCCGGGCACAGACGAUUGCGGGGAUGGGAGGGUUGGUGGGAGUUUUGCGGAGCAAGGUUUCCGUGUCCGAGCUACGGCGCUGCAUGGAGGCGACGCUGGGCGAGGACGUGCCCGAGAUGGAGGCGGCGGCGAUCCUCGCUGCGGUGGACGCGGACGGGGACGGGCUGCUAAACCAAGAAGAGUUCUCGAGACUGGCUACCACCGGCACCCAUGAAGAGGACGAUGCCGGCGUCAAGCGAAGGUGCCUGAGGGAGGCGUUCGGGAUGUACACGUCGUCGUCCGUGGAAGACACGAUUACGCCGGCGAGCCUGAGGCGGACGCUGACCAGGCUGGGGUCGCACGAGCUGGGCGUGGAGGAGUGCAGGGCAAUGAUCUGCAGGUUCGACCUUGACGGCGACGGCAAACUCUCGUUCGACGAGUUCCAGGUCAUGAUGAUGGCCUGA